AAGGCUUCAGUACGACCCAGUCAGAACCAUAAGUCUCAAAGCCCCGACGAGUAGGGUGGCGUGCCGGUGCGCGUUGAAGGCCAAGACGUGAGUCAGGCUGGAGCCGCCGGUAGUGCAGAUCUUGGUGGUAGUAGCAAGUACUCUGGUGAACCAACCUGGAGCUGUGAGGUCUGGAUUAGGGUUCCAUGUCAACAGUGAUUGAACAUGGGUGAGUCGAACCUAAGCCAACUGUGAAAGCAGUGACAUACCGACAAAGGGGCAUUACAUGUCCGGCAUCUUACACCCCCGAAACUCUCUAUCUCUAAAAGGUGUCUGGGACGUAAAUGCGCGCGGACACACAUGAUGAUCACCAAGAGUGGGAGUGUGUGGCUGCACGAGCGCUUGUCAGGUUACGCUCAAAAGCGUUGUUGUUGUUGGGAGAUAAAAGAGAGUGGGUGAGCGUGAGGCCACUGCAUGAGCCCCCUGCGUCUGGUUCCAUGUCUGGCGAAAGGGAAUGGGGACUUUGUUCCUUGACCGGUCCCGGCACCCUCGAUUGGCUCUGCCAAUUAAUGGUCCAUGCAAAUGGAACCAGGCCACAGCCGCCGGCAGUCGCCCGAGGAAGAGUUUUCUUUUCUGCUUAACGCACGAGGUCAUCCCUGGAAACAGUUCGGCUGGCGAAAGGGUGCCCCGUUGCGGCAGAGCGCCACGACUGUCGUGCGCGUCUCGGUGUUCCUGCCGGUCCGUGAAGACGUGGUCGAGGGGAAUGCUAUAUGGAAUAAACGUAACGACUGACAAGUUCGGGACGGACCGUACCCUAUAUCCGCAUCUGGUCUCCAAGGUUCGUAGCCUCUGCAGAGUCAGACACAUGUAGGUAAGGGAAGUCGGCAAACUCGAUCCGUAACUUCGGGAAAAGGAUUGGCUCUGAGGGCCGAGCUGGGCCGGGCCUUGCCUGCAAAGCAGUACCUAUAGUGACCGGAGUUUCAGGAGUGCGAGGGGCUCUAGUAGCUGCUCGUGCGUGUGUGCGUUCGCGCGUGCGCGCGUGUGGGCACGAACGAGUCCACCGCUCCGCUCCAACCACGAACGGCUGUGACGGCAAGGGCUCUGGGCGGGAGCGAUCAACCCGUUUGCCUCCAGCUCGUCUGGGUGGCGGCGGUGCUCCGUCUGACCCAUACGGCUCCAGCGGCUAGCGGCUAACUCAGAACUGUCAUGGACCAAGGGAAUCCGACUGUCUAAUUAAAACAAAGCGUCGUGACGGCCCC
Molecule: ribosomal RNA, 1238 nt
Filed under: Niphargus sp. ND350
Lineage: Eukaryota; Metazoa; Arthropoda; Malacostraca; Amphipoda; Niphargidae
Description: partial large subunit ribosomal RNA
Rfam family: Eukaryotic large subunit ribosomal RNA
Source: RNAcentral